AGCAGUGGGGAAUAUUGCUACAAUGGGCGCAAGCCUGAUGCAGCCAUGCCGCGUGUAUGAAGUAAGGCCUUCGGGUUGUAAAGUACUUUCAGCAGUGAGGAAGGCGGGUACGUUAAUAGCGUGCUCGUUUGACGUUAGCUGCAGAAGAAGCACCGGCUAACUCCGUGCCAGCAGCCGCGGUAAUACGGAGGGUGCGAGCGUUAAUCGGAAUUACUGGGCGUAAAGCGCAUGCAGGUGGUUUGUUAAGUCAGAUGUGAAAGCCCGGGGCUCAACCUCGGAAUUGCAUUUGAAACUGGCAGACUAGAGUACUGUAGAGGGGGUAGAAUUUCAGGUGUAGCGGUGAAAUGCGUAGAGAUCUGAAGGAAUACCGGUGGCGAAGGCGGCCCCCUGGACAGAUACUGACACUCAGAUGCGAAAGCGUGGGGAGCAAACAGGAUUAGAUACCCUGGUAG
RNAcentral lists this ribosomal RNA (452 nucleotides) under uncultured bacterium. Its description in RNAcentral is "bacterial SSU rRNA". It matches the Rfam family "Bacterial small subunit ribosomal RNA", at positions 350 to 793 of the family's 1533-position model. The record is from RNAcentral.